This 252-nucleotide ribosomal RNA is filed under the name uncultured bacterium. RNAcentral's name for it is "partial 16S ribosomal RNA". It matches the Rfam family "Bacterial small subunit ribosomal RNA", at positions 524 to 776 of the family's 1533-position model. The record is from RNAcentral.
UACGUAGGGUGCGAGCGUUGUCCGGAAUUAUUGGGCGUAAAGGGCUCGUAGGCGGUCUGUCGCGUCGGGAGUGAAAACUCAGGGCUUAACCCUGAGCCUGCUUCCGAUACGGGCAGACUAGAGGUAUGCAGGGGAGAACGGAAUUCCUGGUGUAGCGGUGAAAUGCGCAGAUAUCAGGAGGAACACCGGUGGCGAAGGCGGUUCUCUGGGCAUACCUGACGCUGAGGAGCGAAAGUGUGGGGAGCGAACAGG